Molecule: RNase P RNA, 306 nt
Filed under: Lynx canadensis (Canada lynx)
Lineage: Eukaryota; Metazoa; Chordata; Mammalia; Carnivora; Felidae
Description: Nuclear RNase P (ENSLCNG00005021399.1)
Rfam family: Nuclear RNase P
About the family: Ribonuclease P (RNase P) is a ubiquitous endoribonuclease, found in archaea, bacteria and eukarya as well as chloroplasts and mitochondria.
Source: RNAcentral
GGAGGUAAAAGACCUGUACCCUGAAAAUUACAAAAUGUUGAUAAAAGUAAUUGAAGAUGAGGUCAGAGACUAGGGCCAAAAGUGGCCCUAACAGGGUCCUCCCCGAGUUUUGGGGAGGUGAGUUCCCAGAGAAUGGAGCUCUGUGUGAUGGCAGACUAGGCAGGAGAUGCCAUGGACCCUGCCUUUGGGGAGGGGCCUGGCAGAUGCCUCCUUAGCUGGAGCUUGGAAUAGACUCACUGCCAGUGAAGUGAGCUACCCACCAUGGGGGGGGGCCUUAUAACCCAACUCAGAAUACUCUAACCUGCC